CAGCAGCCGCGGUAAUACCGGCGGCCCGAGUGGCGGCCACUAUUAUUGGGCUUAAAGCGUCCGUAGCCGGGUUGGUUAGUCUCCCGGGAAAUCUGGCCGCUUAACGGUCAGAAUUCCGGGAGAUACUGCCAGCCUAGGGACCGGGAGAGGCCGAGGGUAUUCCCGGAGUAGGGGUGAAAUCCUAUAAUCCCGGGAGGACCACCUGUGGCGAAGGCGCUCGGCUGGAACGGGUCCGACGGUGAGGGACGAAGGCCAGGGGAGCAAACCGGAUUAGAUACCCGGGUAGUCCUGGCUGUAAACGAUGCGGACGUUGUGUCGGACAAGCUAUGAGCUUGUCCGGUGCCGGAGGGAAACCGUUAAGUCCGCCGCCUGGGGAGUACGGCCGCAAGGCUGAAACUUAAAGGAAUUGGCGGG
This 414-nucleotide ribosomal RNA is filed under the name uncultured microorganism. Its description in RNAcentral is "bacterial SSU rRNA". It matches the Rfam family "Archaeal small subunit ribosomal RNA", at positions 459 to 872 of the family's 1478-position model. The record is from RNAcentral.